RNAcentral lists this transfer RNA (63 nucleotides) under Torleya nepalica. RNAcentral describes it as "tRNA-Gly". Lineage: Eukaryota; Metazoa; Arthropoda; Insecta; Ephemeroptera; Ephemerellidae. The record is from RNAcentral.
AUCUGUUUAGUAUAAAAAGUAUAUUUGGCUUCCAACCAAAAGGCCUGAACUUCAGAAUAGAUA